AUUGAACGCUGGCGGCAUGCCUUACACAUGCAAGUCGAACGGCAGCACGGGUGCUUGAACCUGGUGGCGAGUGGCGAACGGGUGAGUAAUACGUCGGAACAUGUCCUGUAGUGGGGGAUAGCCCGGCGAAAGCCGGAUUAAUACCGCAUACGAUCUACGGAUGAAAGCGGGGGACCUUCGGGCCUCGCGCUAUAGGGUUGGCCGAUGGCUGAUUAGCUAGUUGGUGGGGUAAAGGCCUACCAAGGCGACGAUCAGUAGCUGGUCUGAGAGGACGACCAGCCACACUGGGACUGAGACACGGCCCAGACUCCUACGGGAGGCAGCAGUGGGGAAUUUUGGACAAUGGGCGAAAGCCUGAUCCAGCAAUGCCGCGUGUGUGAAGAAGGCCUUCGGGUUGUAAAGCACUUUUGUCCGGAAAGAAAUCCUUGGCCCUAAUACGGUCGGGGGAUGACGGUACCGGAAGAAUAAGCACCGGCUAACUACGUG
RNAcentral lists this ribosomal RNA (486 nucleotides) under uncultured bacterium. RNAcentral describes it as "partial 16S ribosomal RNA". It matches the Rfam family "Bacterial small subunit ribosomal RNA", at positions 30 to 507 of the family's 1533-position model. The record is from RNAcentral.